AUUGAACGCUGGCUGCAGGCCUAACACAUGCAAGUCGAACGAGUGGCGGACGGUUGAGUAAUGUCUGGGAAACUGCCCGAUGGAGGCGGAUAACUCCUGGCAACGUUAGCUAAUACCGCAUCCCAUCGGCUGUGCCCAGAUGGGAUUAGCUUGUAGGUGAGGUAACGGCUCACAUAGGCGACGAUCCCUAGCUGGUCUGAGAGGAUGAUCAGCCACACUGGAACUGAGACACGGUCCAGACUCCUACGGGAGGCAGCAGUGGGGAAUAAUGCACAGUGGGCGCAAGCCUGAUGCAGCCAUGCCGCGUGUAUGAAGAAGGCCUUCGGGUUGUAAAGUACUUUCAGCGGAGAGGAGUUAACCGCAGAAGAAGCACCGGCUAACUCCGUGCCAGAAGCCGCGGUAAUUC
Molecule: ribosomal RNA, 406 nt
Filed under: uncultured bacterium
Lineage: Bacteria
Description: partial 16S ribosomal RNA
Rfam family: Bacterial small subunit ribosomal RNA
Source: RNAcentral